This 228-nucleotide ribosomal RNA is filed under the name uncultured bacterium. RNAcentral describes it as "partial 16S rRNA". It matches the Rfam family "Bacterial small subunit ribosomal RNA", at positions 505 to 732 of the family's 1533-position model. The record is from RNAcentral.
GUGUCAGCAGCCGCGGUAAUACGUAGGGAGCGAGCGUUGUCCGGAUUUACUGGGUGUAAAGGGUGCGUAGGCGGAUAUUUAAGUGAGAUGUGAAAUCCCCGGGCUUAACUUGGGGGCUGCAUUUCAAACUGGAUGUCUAGAGUGCAGGAGAGGAAAGCAGAAUUCCUAGUGUAGCGGUGAAAUGCGUCGAGAUUCGGAAGAAUACCAGUGGCGAAGGCGGCUUUCUGG